Long non-coding RNA from Homo sapiens (human), 3028 nucleotides. RefSeq lists it as uncharacterized. The transcript is spliced from 2 exons. NCBI's taxonomy places the organism in Eukaryota, Metazoa, Chordata, Mammalia, Primates, Hominidae. The record is from RefSeq and is a predicted model, not a curated record.
GAGGCGGGAGGCGGGACUGGAGACGGGGCCGGGCCUGUCCCUCCGGAUGCGGGGGGCGCUGCCCUGUUCAGCCGCAGGGCUCUCCCUGCCUCCUCCUCCGGCCACCCAGGCCGGAAGCACCCCGGCCCCUCCUCAGGGACUCUCCCUGUCAGUGAGAUCAACCCUCCGGAGCUGCUGUGUCUUCACGGAGCCGCAGACCCGGGCGGGGAGGCGGGGCCUUCGGCUGCCGUGGGGUGUGGGGGGCCCUGCCCUGGCCGGGGUGUGCCGCCGGAGCUGCUCCCACCCGCUUCCCCGCUUCACCCCAGCGCCUCUGUGGAUGCCCUUUGACCGCGACCCCUCCCGUGCGGCGGAAGUGAGUUGCUCCCGCGAGCUGUUUGGGCGUUUUCCACACCUGCCCAUCAGUUACGCCUCUAGGGAGCUAAUGUGUAGGUUCCCGCCGAAUUUCCUCCCUUACUUUUCCAGACGCGCCUGCUUGGCACAGUCUGCCCUGCGCCCCGUGCUGUGGGGUCAGAGGUCACUGCCUUCUGCGGCUCCCCUGGCAGCCCCAAGACCGUCGGUCACAGGUGCAGCUUCUGCCCCCGAUCCACAAAACGGGCGUUAAUCUCAGGCAGCACAGCCACAAGCCAGAGCUGUUCUUCUGGUGAUACCCUGUGUCCUGGUGAUAAGGCGUGUGAGCUGCCCCCUGCUCCUAGUUUCAGCUCCUUGGAGGCGCCCCCCAGCCGUUUGUGUCUCUGUCUUGCCGCCGCCACACUCAUCUGCGCUGCUCGCACAGACGAGAUUCGUCAUCAGUGUCGAUGGACGGCCUCUCGGUGGAGCCGUGCAGACAGCGUGGCCCUGCCUGUCUGAUAUCUGUGCUCCUGUUACAGCAAACUGUUCUAGUUCCUGCGAGAAAGUCGCCACCAGCGCACACAGCCACGCCUCGCUGUGUGUCUGGAGCUGGUCUCUGGGUUGCCCACACUCCACAACUGCAGGCUGGCUCCAGGCGGCGCUUUCUCCGUGCAGGCACCAGCAUGACUGCGGCUGUCUUCGUCUUCACACGGGCGCUCUCCCUCCGCGUGUCCCCAGCAUGACUGCGGCUGUCUUCGUCUUCACACGGGCGCUCUCCCUCCGCGUGUCCCCAGCAUGACUGCGGCUGUCUUCGUCUUCACACGGGCGCGCUCCCUCCGCGUGUCCCCAGCAUGACCGCGGCUGUCUUCGUCUUCACACGGGCGCUCUCCCUCCCGUGUGGGUGUGCAGAGUCCUUCUUCCUAACAGCACGCCAGUCAUAUUGCAUUAGGGCCGCCCAAAUGCCCUCCGCUCGCUUACCUCUGUAAAGACCCUAUUUCCAAAUAAGGUCAUGUUCCCAGGGCUGGGACUCCAGUGUGUCUUUUUGGGGGAGGGUACGCAGCUCAACCCUGGGACCUGGUGCCUCCAAGUCAGCUCAGUGACUGGGCGGGCGCUGCCUGGCCACGGCAACCCCCACACACCUUUGGCGUCUGUUCCCCCUGCAUUCUGCCCCCGCAUAGCCCUGCCUGGGGAGUUCCUUCUACACAGAUGCCUGAGAUGAGACUAGUGUGGGUUAAAAUCGCUUCAGGUAUGGGAAUCCCCCAGGGCUUGAGGCUCCUUCUAGUCCACCUGCCCCAGGUCACCUGCCCAACAUGCUUCCGAUCCCAUUGGGGGGCGACUUUCUGAGAGAUCUGUCUGUGGGGGAUGCCAGUGAAACCAUUUAAGACAUGAGACACUAAACCAGCCUUGUGACCAUGCCAUUUGGGGCCACUGUUGCUCCUCUGGGACCUGCUUUUGACGCGUCCAGUGUGGAAGCCGGACACCAGCCUCGCGCUCGGUUAUUCAGCUCAGCGGUGGGCAGCGUGCCUCCUGAGUGGUGGGUGGGGCAGGUCUCAUUUUCAUGACCAUCUCUGGAUGUAGCAGGGCUUUCUGGAUAUGAGCCCCAGCCUGUCCCAGUCUGCCCAGAUGCAGCAUUGUAUGCUGAGCUGCGGAGGCCCUGAAUGACACUCAGCUGACUUUCCUAAAUGUUCGAUGAGCUUUAUAGCUUGAGCUGAGCAUUUCCCAAAGGCAUAGUUGGAAGCAGAAUGUCUGCCUGCUGACUAAGGACAGGAGCGUGUGGGAGGAAGAGGACCUGCCCCUUCAGAAUGCGUUCUGUCAUCACGCUGUUGCUGGUCUUCAAGUGCCCAGGUCUGCAAAGAAUCAAGCCCAUGUAGCUUCUCAGAGUAUUGAAACAAACGUGGUCCGAUCAUUUAUUCCUUUGCCUCAACUAUGACAAGUUCAAAGGCCUUUCUGUGUGUGAGCCGCUGGGAUCCCUAAGCAGCACUGACGGCCCUUGCUGACGGCCAGCAGCCCCGGGAUGUGCCUUUGCAGCCCUCAGACCUCGAUGGACACCAUAAACUCGGAGCAGGAGCUUGUGGGUGCUGGUGCCAACUGUGGAGCACAUCCCGGAACAUGUUCUCUGCUGGAGUCAGGACUCCCUCUAGGAGCAAGACACCGGCUCCACCUCUCCACAGGCCACACCAUCAACAUGAAGAAGAGGGCCUCCUGCCAGCAUAAAUGACUGAGCCUAAACCUUCACAGAAAGCAGAGGCAGUUGGAGAGCCCGAGAGAACACCUGAGACCCCUGAGUGGAAGGAACCCCAUUGCCGAGUUCCGUGAGGCCCCUGGGAGGAGGGAACCCCAUUGCCAAGUUCCGUGAGGCCCCUGGACUCAGCAGUGGCUUCACAGAUGGCCUCACGCAUCCUCCAAACAGCAGCACCGUGGAGCCCAUGUGCUGGUGGGAGGCAGAUUCUUGGCCCUGCAGAGCAGCUUCCUGAGUGUGGACAGCAAGCCAGGAGGCCUGGGGGAAUGCCGUCCUCAGGGAUCUGUGUAGCAAGACGAUGUUCCGGGCAGAGGAGUCUUCCACACGCUUUCCUCAGAUGCAGUGGGGUGGGCACGGGAGGUUCUAGAUCAUGAUUAAUGACUAUACCGCCGCGUCCUCUAGCAUGCUUAGCUGGGCCAUCUCCCAAGGCUCUUUGCCAUAGUAAUAAUCAACAAGAAAUUG